This 579-nucleotide ribosomal RNA is filed under the name Shigella sonnei. Its description in RNAcentral is "bacterial SSU rRNA". It matches the Rfam family "Bacterial small subunit ribosomal RNA", at positions 947 to 1526 of the family's 1533-position model. Lineage: Bacteria; Pseudomonadati; Pseudomonadota; Gammaproteobacteria; Enterobacterales; Enterobacteriaceae. The record is from RNAcentral.
UAAUUCGAUGCAACGCGAAGAACCUUACCUGGUCUUGACAUCCACAGAACUUUCCAGAGAUGGAUUGGUGCCUUCGGGAACUGUGAGACAGGUGCUGCAUGGCUGUCGUCAGCUCGUGUUGUGAAAUGUUGGGUUAAGUCCCGCAACGAGCGCAACCCUUAUCCUUUGUUGCCAGCGGUCCGGCCGGGAACUCAAAGGAGACUGCCAGUGAUAAACUGGAGGAAGGUGGGGAUGACGUCAAGUCAUCAUGGCCCUUACGACCAGGGCUACACACGUGCUACAAUGGCGCAUACAAAGAGAAGCGACCUCGCGAGAGCAAGCGGACCUCAUAAAGUGCGUCGUAGUCCGGAUUGGAGUCUGCAACUCGACUCCAUGAAGUCGGAAUCGCUAGUAAUCGUGGAUCAGAAUGCCACGGUGAAUACGUUCCCGGGCCUUGUACACACCGCCCGUCACACCAUGGGAGUGGGUUGCAAAAGAAGUAGGUAGCUUAACCUUCGGGAGGGCGCUUACCACUUUGUGAUUCAUGACUGGGGUGAAGUCGUAACAAGGUAACCGUAGGGGAACCUGCGGUUGGAUCAC